RNAcentral lists this ribosomal RNA (253 nucleotides) under uncultured bacterium. Its description in RNAcentral is "partial 16S ribosomal RNA". It matches the Rfam family "Bacterial small subunit ribosomal RNA", at positions 524 to 776 of the family's 1533-position model. The record is from RNAcentral.
GACGUAGGGCGCAAGCGUUGUCCGGAUUUAUUGGGCGUAAAGGGCUCGUAGGCGGUCUGUUGCGUCAGGAGUUAAAACUCGGGGCUUAACCCCGAGCCUGCUUCUGAUACGGGCAGACUAGAGGUAUGCAGGGGAGAACGGAAUUCCUGGUGUAGCGGUGAAAUGCGCAGAUAUCAGGAGGAACACCGGUGGCGAAGGCGGUUCUCUGGGCAUUACCUGACGCUGAGGAGCGAAAGUGUGGGGAGCGAACAGG